UAUAUAUAUAUAUAUAUAUAUGUACGUAUAUCUUUAUAUCUUUAUUUUUAUAUCUUCCUUGGUCUCAGUGUAUAUAUAUAUAUAUAUAAAUGCAUAAAUAUAUGUAUAAAUAUGUAUGUAUGUAUGUAGGUAUGUAGGUAUGUAGGUAUGUAGGUAGGUAGGUAGGUGGAUAGGUAGGUAUCUGUGUGUGUGUGUGUGUGUAUGUAUAUAAAGUAGAGGCGCGUGUGCUGUGUGUGUAACUUUGCGUGACGGAAGGUUUAUAUGCCUGUGCGAUCACGUGUUAUGAGUUGUUUUACAUGUGUGUGUGUGUGAGUGUGUGUUGAUUAGUUUUGAAGUGUGUGAUGAUGUUGUUGUUGUUUAACCCCAGGUCAGUUCUAAUCCAGCAAGCCUAUGAUGAAAUACAUGGCAUCGCAACAAUUCCGUUUCUCUUCCUUUUCCUCAUCAGAUGUUCAUUACCAAUUUGCAUUCCUUCUUUUUUUUUAAGAAAAAAAAAAAACACACACACAAAAAAUAGCAAAAACGUUAAAGUGUGGUGGUUUGAAAGAAAUUUGGAUGCUAUUUCUAGCAGAUCAAGAGACCAUAUAGUGGCUUCCGGAAUGGGAAUGUAUUAGUCCUUCAACAUUCGGAGACCUCCAUCAAAUGUUCUGCUUAUCCAUUCCCAUUGUUUUAGAUUAAUUCCGGAUUAUCUCGUAGCUUUGAGAUUCUGACAAGAUUAUUGUUUUAUUUUAAGAAUGACAUUGUUGGGUAUGUGUGAGAGGCCAGAUUUGGCUGGUUUGAAUAUAAAACAAGUAGAAUAUUUGGACCCUGGGGGUAUGACUAGUUUAAAUACUAAAGGGAUACAUGGAUGUGGAUGUACAAUCCUUUGGCAUUCAGUUUAUUUCGCUGCCAAAUGUAAUCCUUAUUCACAUUGUUUGGAAUUUCUCUUCAUCUUCCAAAUUUUGACGUCGCGAUUGCAUAUUUUUAGGAUGAACACUGCUGAGGAGACAUCAGGGGCUGGAUUUGGUUAGUUUGAACACAAAAGAGGGAGAAUAUUUGCGCCGGAUAUGUCCACUUUAAGGUGUAUUGAAGUGCUUGUGUAUUCGUUUUUAUUCGCCGUGUCUGUGUGUCGAUGUUAAAUACUUUGUCAAAUGUGCGGACGUGUUAGCAUUUUUAUUAUCUUUAAGCGAUAUUUAAAAAAUUUUUAUCUUCUUCACGCUUUGUUAUCAUUUUUAUUGUUGUUGUUGUUGUUGUUGUUACUAAUGGCGGUGGUGCUGGUGCUAUUAUCGUUACUGUUGUUUUCUUAAAAAAAAAAUUAUUUAGUGACAUU
RNAcentral lists this long non-coding RNA (1306 nucleotides) under Octopus vulgaris (common octopus). Lineage: Eukaryota; Metazoa; Mollusca; Cephalopoda; Octopoda; Octopodidae. The record is from RNAcentral.